Molecule: long non-coding RNA, 1720 nt
Organism: Poecile atricapillus (Black-capped chickadee)
Lineage: Eukaryota; Metazoa; Chordata; Aves; Passeriformes; Paridae
Exons: 3
Source: RefSeq, a predicted model, not a curated record
UCAUGACUUGCGGGGCAAGUUUGUCAGAGCUCUCCUUUCACAGCUAAAGGUUAAUAAAGGCUCAUGUGGCUGUGCAGAACCACUGGAAGGACAAUCAUGGCACAAACUCUGAGGAAUGCACCCAAAUGGAAGAAUCCCUUCCCUGUCUCAAACUCCUCUGGGGCUUUGUGCAGCAUCUCCUUCCCAUCUGGAAUCCCUGGUGAGAGCUGCGCUCCCAAACUGGCACCAGAACCACUUGGCAAUACCAGCAGAAUUGCAUCUGAGCUUCGACCUCAGACCUCCAAGAGCCUCGUACUCAACACGUUGAACCUGAUCUGACACCAGAGUUGACAGAGAGGGCCUGACGGGGUUUGAAUGCUCUUAAAACCACACUAAUGCCUCCUAAGAGGGGGAUUAAGUGAUGGGGAUGAGACAGAGCGAGCUCCCCUGCUGUGUGAUCCCACAGACCUUCUCUGGGUGAGCACCUUUGGAGUUAAUCCAAAUAUUCAUGCCUGGAACACAGAUCAACAGGAGGGCUUUUCAUCACAGACUAUGGGAAAAACAGAGGUUCUCCUGGCACCUACUGCUUCUAAACCAGAGUUGUAAUGAUUUGCUUUACAAAGGUAAUGCAGAUGAUUUUAGAUAUGGAUUCAAUUUUCAAGUGCCCCCGAGCUUUAAGCAUCCACUUCAGUAAUCCCUUAUUGGAAUUUGGGUGGACUUUUUACAGUCUGAAUUAAAAGCCUUGUUGAAUCUAAUUGAAUUUCUUCCAUGAUUUAAUGUGGAAAUGGUGAAGAACAGAUAAUUGUGUUUUAGUUAAAGAAAACUAUAUGAUGAGUUAAAUAUCUAUGAUUUCUGGGAAGGCCUGAAAUUCCCUCACUAAAUCUUUCUCCUGGCAUUGAAACCACCUGAAUAUUUUUCCAACAUUGAAGUGUUUUGCUUCCCAACGUCCCUGGGGAAUGGAGAAACCAAGUGGGUAACACCCAUUUUGUGCUUCUCUUUCCAAAAGUGUCCUUGGGAAGCUGAUGCUGGACCCAAGUGCUUUGCAAAUCUCUCCUCUCACGGUUUCCCCAUUGACACUUCUGGGCUUUUUGGGGAGACUUUGGAAGAGGUAUCCUGGUUCCUGAGGGAUGGGCAGGGAUCCAGACCUCUGAGACUGUGCCAUGAGAUUAUAUCUCCUGCAAGGCUGUUUGAGAACACUUCUACUUGCUGCAGACAGGUUUAAUUUAAUUUAAAUAAAAGGAAUAAAUCCCCCAGGAAUAAAGUGCUGUUAGUUCAUUGUGAAAGCUUAGGAUUAUCACCCAUCUCUGUCAUUUCUCCUGUGUAAUUCCUGCAUUUUUGGUGUUUCUUUACAUUUCUUCCAGUCCUCUCUGCUAAGGCAUUUCUUCCAAAGCUCCUCUCUCAGCAGUGUGUUAUUUAUGAUGCUCUAAAGGUGUUUUCCUGUGGACAACUCGUUCUUAAGUGUUAAUGCAAAUAAAUUGAAAUCUCUGGUUGCAAAGGCCUCACACUGGAGGGUUGUUAUAACACAUCAUAAAAACCUCUUUUCCAAAGCUCUCCUGGAGGUGUAAAUAAAGCAGGAGGCAUUUCAGCCAUCACUGCUGGGGAUUCUGCCCACAUCCAGAGAUCAGUUAUUAACUAGAGAACCACAAUCUGACCCUGGGACUGGGAGUGCGGGUUCAGGCCAAACCCUGUCCCUCCUCAGCCUGGAUUUGCAGAGCCCCUCUCAUCUCUCAGCCUGAUUAGG